Molecule: ribosomal RNA, 114 nt
Organism: Rhinopithecus bieti (black snub-nosed monkey)
Lineage: Eukaryota; Metazoa; Chordata; Mammalia; Primates; Cercopithecidae
Source: Ensembl
CCCCUGGGCCAUAGCAGCCUGAGGGCACCCCUGCCUGCAAGCCAAGCAGGGACAAGCCUGGCUGUGGCUUGGAUGGGUGACUAUCUGGGCAGACCCGGUCUUUGGCUCUGGGCU